Molecule: ribosomal RNA, 630 nt
Filed under: Staphylococcus sp.
Lineage: Bacteria; Bacillati; Bacillota; Bacilli; Caryophanales; Staphylococcaceae
Description: bacterial SSU rRNA
Rfam family: Bacterial small subunit ribosomal RNA
Source: RNAcentral
CAGAUAAGGAGCUUGCUCCUUUGACGUUAGCGGCGGACGGGUGAGUAACACGUGGAUAACCUACCUAUAAGACUGGGAUAACUUCGGGAAACCGGAGCUAAUACCGGAUAAGAUUUUGAACCGCAUGGUUCAAUAGUGAAAGACGGUCUUGCUGUCACUUAUAGAUGGAUCCGCGCCGUAUUAGCUAGUUGGUAAGGUAACGGCUUACCAAGGCAACGAUACGUAGCCGACCUGAGAGGGUGAUCGGCCACACUGGAACUGAGACACGGUCCAGACUCCUACGGGAGGCAGCAGUAGGGAAUCUUCCGCAAUGGGCGAAAGCCUGACGGAGCAACGCCGCGUGAGUGAUGAAGGUCUUCGGAUCGUAAAACUCUGUUAUCAGGGAAGAACAAACGUGUAAGUAACUGUGCACGUCUUGACGGUACCUGAUCAGAAAGCCACGGCUAACUACGUGCCAGCAGCCGCGGUAAUACGUAGGUGGCAAGCGUUAUCCGGAAUUAUUGGGCGUAAAGCGCGCGUAGGCGGUUUUUUAAGUCUGAUGUGAAAGCCCACGGCUCAACCGUGGAGGGUCAUUGGAAACUGGAAAACUUGAGUGCAGAAGAGGAAAGUGGAAUUCCAUGUGUAGCGGUG